Molecule: ribosomal RNA, 512 nt
Filed under: uncultured bacterium
Lineage: Bacteria
Description: partial 16S ribosomal RNA
Rfam family: Bacterial small subunit ribosomal RNA
Source: RNAcentral
GACGAACGCUGGCGGCGUGCCUAAUACAUGCAAGUCGAGCGGACCGAUAGGAGCUUGCUUCUGUUGGUUAGCGGCGGACGGGUGAGUAACACGUGGGCAACCUGCCUGCAAGACUGGGAUAACUUCGGGAAACCUAAGCUAAUACCGGAUAAUUCAUCCCCUCGCAUGAGGGGAUGCUGAAAGUCGGUUUACGCUGACACUCACAGAUGGGCCCGCGGCGCAUUAGCUAGUUGGUGAGGUAAUGGCUCACCAAGGCGACGAUGCGUAGCCGACCUGAGAGGGUGAUCGGCCACACUGGGACUGAGACACGGCCCAGACUCCUACGGGAGGCAGCAGUAGGGAAUCUUCCACAAUGGACGAAAGUCUGAUGGAGCAACGCCGCGUGAGCGAUGAGGGCCUUCGGGUCGUAAAGCUCUGUUGUUAGGGAAGAACAAGUAUCGGAGUAACUGCCGGUACCUUGACGGUACCUAACCAGAAAGCCACGGCUAACUACGUGCCAGCAGCCGCGGUAA